GCACAAGCGGUGGAGCAUGUGGUUAAUUCGAAGCAACGCGAAGAACCUUACCAGGCCUUGACAUGCAGAGAACUUUCCAGAGAUGGAUUGGUGCCUUCGGGAACUCUGACACAGGUGCUGCAUGGCUGUCGUCAGCUCGUGUUGUGAGAUGUUGGGUUAAGUCCCGUAACGAGCGCAACCCUUGUCCUUAGUUACCAGCACGUUAUGGUGGGCACUCUAAGGAGACUGCCGGUGACAAACCGGAGGAAGGUGGGGAUGACGUCAAGUCAUCAUGGCCCUUACGGCCUGGGCUACACACGUGCUACAAUGGUCGGUACAAAGGGUUGCCAAGCCGCGAGGUGGAGCUAAUCCCAUAAAACCGAUCGUAGUCCGGAUCGCAGUCUGCAACUCGACUGCGUGAAGUCGGAAUCGCUAGUAAUCGUGAAUCAGAAUGUCACGGUGAAUACGUUCCCGGGCCUU
This 459-nucleotide ribosomal RNA is filed under the name uncultured Pseudomonas sp. RNAcentral describes it as "bacterial SSU rRNA". It matches the Rfam family "Bacterial small subunit ribosomal RNA", at positions 923 to 1382 of the family's 1533-position model. Lineage: Bacteria; Pseudomonadati; Pseudomonadota; Gammaproteobacteria; Pseudomonadales; Pseudomonadaceae. The record is from RNAcentral.